This 358-nucleotide transfer-messenger RNA is filed under the name Gammaproteobacteria bacterium. It matches the Rfam family "transfer-messenger RNA". Rfam says of the family: Bacterial tmRNA, also known as 10Sa RNA or SsrA, is named for its dual tRNA and mRNA-like properties. Its role is to liberate the mRNA from a stalled ribosome. The record is from RNAcentral. Lineage: Bacteria; Pseudomonadati; Pseudomonadota; Gammaproteobacteria.
GGGGGUGACCUGGCUUCGACGCCGGUCGCGAAGCCAUCGGAGCAUGCCGAGGAGCAGAACACCUCGUAAAUCCAUCUGCAACGCAAUAGUUGCCAACGACGACAACUACGCGCUGGCCGCUUAAUCCGGCUCAGCCCUUUCACCUGGUUCGCCUUUGACUGGGGUUUGAAAGGUCAAACAGAAGGCUUUGCUUGCGGGUUCGCCUGGCGCUCGUAAGCGAGAUUCACAGGCUCGCCGCCGCGUGUUCGCGUCUGCAGUGCUUUGACGCGGCGGUUAAUCCGACAAGCGCAGACUAAGCAUGUAGCCGCCGGUGGUGUAGGUCCUGCGGACGCGGGUUCGAUUCCCGCCACCUCCACCA